AUCUACUUGCUCUUUCGAAGCCCCUGAAAUUACCCGAGUGUUUCGUUUGGCUCAGUUUUUUUUUUAAAUUUUCUAUGCAGUGAUUUAUAUUUGUAGACUGUAGACUGUUGUUUGUUUUUUGCUCUUGUAUUCGUGUUUGCUAUAUGCUUUGCAUGUAUGUCACAAUGUCGAACUGAAAUUUCGUUAAUGAACUUACUUUCAGGCUUAAGGGGGCUCCUGGGUAUAAAUCAAAUUUUUUUUCUAAUAUAGGAUUUCGCUAUAUUUUUUUAUAAAUGAACUUUAUCAUAUACUUAAAAGAAAAAUGAAAUAAAAAAAUAGGGUCACCGUUCAUUUAAGCUCGAAAUCUGCCUCCGGAAGAAGCAUACAUUUUUGUUAAUGUCCUUUUUUUUCUGUUGAACUAAUAGGAGAAAUAGAGGUAAUAUCGAAAUAAAAAAAUAACCUAGUUACAGAAAUCGCUUAAAUUUUACAAUUAUUUAGUUUAUGUACAGCUUAUAUGAAAACAAUAAUAAAAAAUAUAGGUCACCGAUUAGUUAAAAAAGAUAUUUCAAAUUUUAAUGCCAAAAAUGGCAUUUUUGCACCAAAGGGAGAUAAUUUGGAGCUUUUUCAAUGAUAUAAACAUUUUUAAAGUCAUCUGGAGCCAAACCGAAUCGAUUUUU
This 656-nucleotide long non-coding RNA is filed under the name Mytilus galloprovincialis (Mediterranean mussel). Lineage: Eukaryota; Metazoa; Mollusca; Bivalvia; Mytilida; Mytilidae. The record is from RNAcentral.